CCUACGGGAGGCAGCAGUGAGGAAUAUUGGUCAAUGGACGAGAGUCUGAACCAGCCAAGUAGCGUGAAGGAUGACUGCCCUAUGGGUUGUAAACUUCUUUUAUAUGGGAAUAAAAUGUUCCACGUGUGGGAUUUUGUAUGUACCAUAUGAAUAAGGAUCGGCUAACUCCGUGCCAGCAGCCGCGGUAAUACGGAGGAUCCGAGCGUUAUCCGGAUUUAUUGGGUUUAAAGGGAGCGUAGGUGGAUUGUUAAGUCAGUUGUGAAAGUUUGCGGCUCAACCGUAAAAUUGCAGUUGAAACUGGCAGUCUUGAGUACAGUAGAGGUGGGCGGAAUUCGUGGUGUAGCGGUGAAAUGCUUAGAUAUCACGAAGAACUCCGAUUGCGAAGGCAGUUCACUGGACUGCAACUGACACUGAGGCUCGAAAGUGUGGGUAUCAAACAGGAUUAGAUACCCCAGCAGUC
This 460-nucleotide ribosomal RNA is filed under the name uncultured bacterium. RNAcentral's name for it is "partial 16S ribosomal RNA". It matches the Rfam family "Bacterial small subunit ribosomal RNA", at positions 338 to 795 of the family's 1533-position model. The record is from RNAcentral.